UAGGGAAUAUUGGGCAAUGGAGGGAACUCUGACCCAGCCAUGCCGCGUGCAGGAUGAAGGCGUUAUGCGUUGUAAACUGCUUUUUAUAUAGGAAGAAAUAGUCCUUGCGAGGAAAGUUGACGGUACUAUAUGAAUAAGCACCGGCUAACUCCGUGCCAGCAGCCGCGGUAAUACGGAGGGUGCAAGCGUUGUCCGGAUUUAUUGGGUUUAAAGGUGCGUAGGCGGUUUAUUAAGUCAGUGGUGAAAGACGGUCGCUCAACGAUUGCAGUGCCAUUGAUACUGGUAGACUUGAGUAUGAUUGAGGUAGCUGGAAUGGAUAGUGUAGCGGUGAAAUGCAUAGAUAUUAUCCAGAACACCAAUUGCGUAGGCAAGUUACUAAGUCAUAACUGACGCUGAGGCACGAAAGUGUGGGUAUCAAACAGGAUUAGAUACCCAAGUAGUCCCUGAGCGGGCUGGCAAGGCGCAU
Molecule: ribosomal RNA, 466 nt
Filed under: uncultured bacterium
Lineage: Bacteria
Description: bacterial SSU rRNA
Rfam family: Bacterial small subunit ribosomal RNA
Source: RNAcentral